This 292-nucleotide long non-coding RNA is filed under the name Zostera marina. RNAcentral describes it as "long non-coding RNA (ZMAR_LNC002488)". The record is from RNAcentral. Lineage: Eukaryota; Viridiplantae; Streptophyta; Magnoliopsida; Alismatales; Zosteraceae.
UCCUUUUCCCUUCUCUCCCGGGACCGCGACCGGGACCGCGUUCUCCUGACCUUGGGUGGGGACGCCGGCUCUUUGUGCCGGCGCCUCCUGGGUGACUCCCACCCGUACCUGAUCUCCUCGAGCUCCAUGCGCAGUCUAUCCUCGUCGUCCCAUUCCUCGUUGGCCCUUACUUCCUCCGAAUACCGGUCGCGGGAGUGAUGUCGCGCCGGCUGGUACUCCUCCGCCGCCCGCUCGGGUCGCUUAGAGCUCUCCCCUACUUGGUAUUCGCUCCUCGUCAUCCUUCUCUCUCCGG